AUAAUUGAGCUCUAUAUUUUAGGUUGACUAAUAGCCUAAAAUCUCUCUCUAUCUUACUUCUAAGUAGAUUGUAGAACAUAACUAUUCCACUAUUACUCACUACUCAAUAUUUUAUAAUUUCAAAUUUCAAAAUCAAAAGGAUUGCCUGUUUUACAUAGUAGUAACGACUUAUAAUACAGAAGAAAUGUAAUGAGCUUGUUUGUCAAUCAACUUAGGAUAUAGCGGAAAAUAUUCAUUAACAAACGAGCUUAUAAUUAGUACUGGCGUAAUACCACACUGAGAUUCUUACCUACUAUUCAACAACAAAAAUAUCUAAGAAAUGUCGGAGGAACAAGUGUUUGUCGAUGAAAUUCCUGAUGUAGACGGCAGUACCGUUUCGUCCAGUGAAGAAUACAAUCAAAAUUCUGUACUAAAGUCAAUAAACAACUAUAUUACAAACAUUGAUUUGAUAGCUAACUAUAUAAAGUUAAUUCUAAACGAGACUAUAAUUAAACCCAUAGUAAAUAAAUAUCAACGAAAAAUUGAGGAAUGUAUAGUAAAUAAGCUGAAUGAAAUAAUCGAGCAACAAAAUAAUAUCACUGAUUUAUGUGACAAGAUUAAUGAGGACUUGAAAGAACAUCCAUAUUCAAUACUAUUGGAUGUUCAAAAUCAGGGAAUUUUUAACAACGAAAAUAAUAUAGAGGCGAUAGACGGUACAGAUUACCAGCAAUCUUGCCUGAAUAAUUAAUGUUUAAAUUAAGUGAUUAUAAUUCUAAAUUUUUUACUUAUAAUGAUCGAGUUGAGUUGGUUUGACAAAUAGUAAUAAACAAGUAAAAUAAUUAUAACUAUUAUUGACAAUAAUAAUUUAAUAUUAUUCUUUAUAACUUUCUUUUGUUAAUAACUAUGAUCAAUAAAGUUAAUUUAGAUCAUGCCAUUACUCAGUACAACCAUCUAAGUAAAAUAUUGUAUAAAAAAAUAAUAAUACUAGGCGUCAAAAAUAAUUUAUACAUAGAACUUGUGUUGAUGGAACCAAGCAUGAGUAUAAUUUAAAUGUGCCAAUAAAUUUGCUGUGAACAGUAAUAGGGAUAAGAGUUAAGCGUUUAAAAUAUAAAUAGUCAGAAUAGCUUAUACUAUAACAAAGUAUAUCUAUUGUGUUCAUGCAAUCAAAUAAUACCAUUCAUAUUAU
Molecule: long non-coding RNA, 1165 nt
Organism: Adelges cooleyi (spruce gall adelgid)
Lineage: Eukaryota; Metazoa; Arthropoda; Insecta; Hemiptera; Adelgidae
Exons: 3
Source: RefSeq, a predicted model, not a curated record